UACAGAGGUCUCAAGCGUUGUUCGGAUUCAUUGGGCGUAAAGAGCUCGUAGGCGGUUUGUCGCGUCUGCUGUGAAAACUCGGGGCUUAACUCCGGGCCUGCAGUGGGUACGGGCAGACUAGAGUGCGGUAGGGGAGACUGGAAUUCCUGGUGUAGCGGUGAAAUGCGCAGAUAUCAGGAGGAACACCGGUGGCGAAGGCGGGUCUCUGGGCCGUAACUGACGCUGAGGAGCGAAAGCGUGGGGAGCGAACAGG
This 253-nucleotide ribosomal RNA is filed under the name uncultured bacterium. RNAcentral's name for it is "partial 16S ribosomal RNA". It matches the Rfam family "Bacterial small subunit ribosomal RNA", at positions 524 to 776 of the family's 1533-position model. The record is from RNAcentral.